AUGCCGGGCGCCUCCAGGGCUGCCCUCAGGGCGGUGCCCGGGGGGGAAGCCCGGGGCCGGACUUUGUUUCGGCCGCGCCUCCGCCUCUCCCAUCCCGCUCCCCUUCGGAGCCGGAGUCCCUCCCGGCCUCCGGGCCACGUUAAAUCCCGUGUAAUGAGGUUUAACCCCGCCCCGAGGCGCGGCGCGGCCGGUCGGGCAGGCAGCCAGCGAGGCCCCUGCCCGGGGAGCCCGCCCGCCGCCCCGAGCGGCCGCAGCUGUUCCACGGUUCCAGCCGGAGUUGUUGGAAAGCGGCCACAGCUCCACAGACUUUGUCUCCCCCGCGUUCAGCGCUCAACUCUGCUCCAUCCUCCCCUCCCCUCCCCGGGGGCGGCCGCGGCUGCUCUGAGCGACGACGAGGGGGGAUGGAAGGGGGGUGCUGGGGAUGGAAGGAAGGGGGUGAUGGGGAUGGCCGUGCCCCCGCGGCUCCGGCAUGCACGGAGUCGAGGCUCCCCGCUCACAACCCCCGGGGAAAAGAAAAUACAUAGAACAACAAAUAAAAAAAAGAAUAAUGUUGAGGGUGGGGAGCGAGCUCGGCGCGCCGGGUGCUCAACCCGUCCCAUCCCAUCCCGUCCCAUCCCAUCCCAUCCCGUCCCGUCCCAUCCCGUUCAGUUCCGUCCCGGCCCCGCUCCGCGCUUUCCCCGCAGCCCUGUGCUGAGCGUGGCGCGGCGGUGGGUGUCUGCGCUGGGACGGGCGGGGCGGGCAGGCGCAGUGUGGGGCCGCGGCAGGGGGAGGGCGGCGGGCGGGCGCUGUGUCUGCGUCGCACCGACAGGGGGAAGGGAAGGGAAGGCGGGGGGUUACGCACCAGGGCAGAGCCGGGAUCCCUUCUCCACCCCACGAGCCCGCGGGGAGGGGAGAGAAAAAGGACGGGGGGGGUGUGGGGGGAGCGUUCUCCUCCUCCUUCCUCCUCCCCCUUUUUCACCCUUCCUCCUCCUCCUUCUUUCCCUAAAGUUAAACUUCCUGCUCCCGGCCCGGCUGGGAAGGGGACGCGCAGCCCGGCCGGACUCUGCCCUCGACACACACACAACAGCUGGAGCUGUCAAAACUUCCUCCUCUCGGCCUUCAGCCCCCGCCGCCUCCUCCUCCUCCUCCGCCGCCGCCUGCUCCUCCUCCGCCCCCGGGGGCUCAACGCGGGGGGAGGGCGCGGGGGCAGCGUACAAUGAAGCGGCGGCCGCCGCAGCCGGGCAGCACCGGAGCCGCCAGCAGCUCCCGAGGCCUCUGAGAGGGGGAAGCCCGCAGACAGCGCCUCGACCGCCGCCUCCCCCCGGACCCCGCCGAGCCGAGCACGGGGUGUUAUUGUGUGCGAGACCCUUCGUGCCUCCGCGCUCUUCUCUUCGCACCCCCCCUUCCCCUCUUCCCCCCCCCCUCCCCCGGUUCCUCCCUCCCCUCCUCCUCCUCUCUCCCCAUGCUGCUCCCCCUGCUACCUGCGCUGGUCGGCGGCGGCUGAGGCCAGCGAUGCGAGGCGGAGGUGGAGGAGGCGGAGGUGAGGAGGAGAGGAGCCGAGGGAGCAGGAGGAGCAUCGGGAUCCCCAUCACCAUCCUCAUCUUCAUCACCAUCAUCCAUGUGUCUCUCUCGUCCUGCUGA
Molecule: long non-coding RNA, 1620 nt
Filed under: Coturnix japonica (Japanese quail)
Lineage: Eukaryota; Metazoa; Chordata; Aves; Galliformes; Phasianidae
Description: lncRNA (ENSCJPG00005001300.1)
Source: RNAcentral